Anas platyrhynchos (mallard) is the source of this 2735-nucleotide long non-coding RNA. RefSeq lists it as uncharacterized. NCBI's taxonomy places the organism in Eukaryota, Metazoa, Chordata, Aves, Anseriformes, Anatidae. The record is from RefSeq and is a predicted model, not a curated record.
UGUGCCCAACAUUUGCAUUUGUCAGGACAGAUCUAUAUAAGAUGACCUACCACCUGCCAUGACUUGCUAGACUUCUCUUUGUAGAAUGGUGUAUCAUCAUCCAUGUCCUGCUGUCAGAAAACAUUUGUCAGCCAACAUUUGCUUUGUUUCAUCCUUACUUUUAGUUCUCAUCACACCACCUUGUGCAUAACAAGGACAUCCUGACAUACUAUGCUAGCUUCUUGAAGACUGCUGCAAUAAGAUGCUCCUGUAAUGAGCACCUUCAACAGGAAGGUAGUCUAUAGAUGUUCCUGAUACCUUGGAUCUUGCAAGAAAACAGAUGUGCUCGGAGUACUUGACAAUCCUCGACAAUCUCACUUUGAAUGAGGGACCAGGAAAUGGAGAGCACAGAAAUAAGAAACUUUUUUUUGGUUGCACUUGAUCAUUCUUGAAUCUUGACACUGGGGACAAAGACUUGGGCAAGGUUCCAAACUGGCUCUUCCACUUGAAAUCCAUUCUUAUGUCCCUAUGUGCACAUUAAGGUGAGCACUAAGCCUAGGUCUAGUGUUUCAGUUUUAAAUCUCAAUUCCCUUGCUCAGCUUUGGGGCCAAACUCUUGCGAGGGAAUAGACAUGCACAGCAGAUCAGUGGCCUUCUUUCAGGAUACCUGUUUCCACUAAAUGUGUGAAGAAGCCAAAGAUUAGACUAGACGUUUUGGCCAAGAGACCCACUAAUUAAGCAGCAAUGUAGCCCCACCCCGACGAAGCAUAUUUCUUUUUGUUUAGCACUUUCACAAAACAUUGCCACUGUGACCUGAAGUUAUUGCUCAUGCUGUUUGGAUUUUAGACAGCCAUUUCUUCAGGUCAAAGUCUAAGCCCAGCUUAGGUUCCUGGAAGAGUUGUUCAAAGGAUGUCUAAGAUGGGAAAAGGAUGUGAAGGGUGGUUCGGUAAGAGUCUGCACUGAAAUGGAGCACUGGCAACUCUAAAUCUCAACCUGGGUUGUACCCAUAGAUGACUUAAACACGUUUUUUCUCCUGUCAUGCCUCCCUUCCCCAAACAAACCUCUUCAUUCUACUGAUCCAGAGACAGCUGCAUUUGACUCAUCUAAUGCUUGAGAACUGAAAAUGCAUCUUUUGUUAUAAAGGUUCUCCAGUACAGUGGGCUGCUAACCAUGCUUUUCAUGGCUUCAGGGAUCAUCUCAUCAAUGAAAUUAUCAACUUCAAUUACCAAUUAAAGCUGUUUAGUACACAAAUCAUCAUAAUUUAUGAUAAUUUUAAUUUGAAUAACUGGGAAGCUUUUAUUCAGUGUAGCAAGCAGCACCUGAUAAAGUUAGUACAUAUUCUUGAAACUGUCAGCUGUACACAUAUUGAAUGUAACUGUAAUGCUGCUGGACCUCUGGGCUCCCUGAAAAGAAAUGUGACUCCAUAGGUACUCUUAUAGCUUGGCUGCUGACCAGUUUAAUAUGAGCUGAACACACCAUCCACACAUAGGGCCCCUAGGUGGACCAUCAGAAACAAAGGUUGGUUCUGGGGCCUCUGAAAGGGCAAGCAGUGAGCUUUCGUGCUCUGAGGUUAGAGGUGAACAGCCAAGAACAUUGGAAAAUUAUUCUUCUACUGUCCUGCUGAAAACAGUGUCCUGCAGAUCAUGUGGAGGCUAUGCUUAUUGUGGCUUCAUUUUUCUUUUCAUUUUCAUUAUUUCACCCACCAGACUUAGGCCAGUACCACUGCAGGAGGUGUUAGGGUGACAAACCACCAGAAGGAACUGAGCCACAUGUAGCAGAAAAUAGAAAAUGUAACUAUUUGUGUUGGCAUACCUGAGGAGCAGGGUGGAAUAAGACCCCUGGAGCCUGUGUCACCAGCAGUGGUCAUCACCUGGGGUCCUUAGAUUUGGCAGUCAGGUGGUAGCAGUAAUAUCCCAAAGUUAGAAGUGCUUCUGCUGUGUCAAGCCACCCCUGUGACGGGAAUUCUGUACAAAUCAUGGCAGUGCUCUCCACCAAAUGUUCUGCAGGAAUAAAAGGCAAAAUAAAUAGUAAGUGACUUAAGUGAGGCUACUGGCUUGCUUCAAAUUAUUCCAAAUUAAGUCAUUUUUGAACUUAAAACCUUUGGUUUAAAAUAAACCAGAAAGCCAUCAGGGAAGAAAAACCUGAGUGCCACAAAAACCGAGCUGUGAGUUCAAGGAUAUGAUUCAUUUUCCCCUUUCCUCUCCGUCCAUUCGGGGGCCAGCAAAAUCCAUCUCUUACCCGGCCGUUCUUUACUCUGAAACUUGGAGUAAUGGGAGGAACAGAGGAGUUAAUGUGACAGCAUGUUUGUAGAAGGCUCUGCCAUGGGUGUCCUGUGAAUUGUUCUUGAUAUUCCUCAGCUGGUAUCCUGUUUCUCUGAGUACAGACAGGCGUGUUGUGGCCAUACAGAUCUUGUGCCUAAACAAUAUGCCUGUGUAGUAUUAAUGUGAGGCUUGGGCUAAAUCAUGUUUCUCUAGUUCUUUGAAGCCAGUAUCUGUACGGCACCCCCCAACCACACAGACAUACGAGCACACACACGCGGCUUCCAGGAUAUGGCAUGAACAGCUGAAGAACCUGUGACUGCUAUUUUUGUUGUUGAUGCCCAUUUUCACCACGUCCAGCAUGUGCUCUGAACUGACUGCUUCCAAGAACGUCACCCUUCUCAAUGUGUGUGGACAUUAAUCUUCCAGAGAGGAAUUUAAAUGGCAGGGUGGACCCCUCGAGCUAAUAUAAGGGAGGUGAUGCCCUGCCUGGUUUUAA